GACGAACGCUGGCGGCGUGCCUAACACAUGCAAGUUGAGCGACGAACCAGGGCUUGCCCUGGGGCAAAGCAGCGAACGGGUGAGUAACACGUGGGUAACCUACCCCGAUAACCGGGACAACCCGAGGAAACUCGGGCUAAUACCGGAUGUGCUCACUGGACUUCGGUUCAGUGCGUAAAGGAAGCUUCGGCCUCCGUAUCGGGAGGGGCCCGCGGCCCAUUAGUUUGUUGGUGAGGUAACGGCUCACCAAGACCGCGACGGGUAGCUGGUCUGAGAGGACGAUCAGCCACACUGGGACUGAGACACGGCCCAGACUCCUACGGGAGGCAGCAGUGGGGAAUCUUGCGCAAAGCGCGAAAGCGUGACGCAGCAACGCCGCGUGGGGGAAGAAGGCCUUCGGGUUGUAAACCCCUUUCAGGAGGGACGAAGGUUCGGCGGUGAAUAGCCGUCCGGACUGACGGUACCUCCACAAGAAGCCCCGGCUAACUACGUG
RNAcentral lists this ribosomal RNA (493 nucleotides) under uncultured bacterium. RNAcentral describes it as "partial 16S ribosomal RNA". It matches the Rfam family "Bacterial small subunit ribosomal RNA", at positions 28 to 507 of the family's 1533-position model. The record is from RNAcentral.